RNAcentral lists this ribosomal RNA (468 nucleotides) under uncultured bacterium. RNAcentral's name for it is "partial 16S ribosomal RNA". It matches the Rfam family "Bacterial small subunit ribosomal RNA", at positions 28 to 507 of the family's 1533-position model. The record is from RNAcentral.
GACGAACGCUGGCGGCGUGCUUAACACAUGCAAGUCGAACGGAAAGGCCCUGCUUUUGUGGGUUGCUCGAGUGGCGAACGGGUGAGUAACACGUGAGUAACCUGCCCUUGACUUUGGGAUAACUUCAGGAAACUGGGGCUAAUACCGGAUAGGAGCUCCUGCUGCAUGGUGUUGUUUGGAAAGUUUCGGCGGUUCGGGAUGGACUCGCGGCUUAUCAGCUUGUUGGUGGGGUAGUGGCUUACCAAGGGUUUGACGGGUAGCCGGCCUGAGAGGGUGACCGGCCACAUGGGGACUGAGAGACGGCCCAGACUCCUACGGGAGGCAGCAGUGGGGAAUAUUGCACAAUGGGCGGAAGCCUGAGGCAGCAACGCCGCGUGCGGGAUGACGGCCUUCGGGUUGUAAACCGCUUUCGCCUGUGACGAAGCGUGAGUGACGGUAAUGGGUAAAGAAGCAACGGCUAACUACGUG